CACGUAGGGGGCAAGCGUUGUCCGGAUUUAUUGGGCGUAAAGAGCUCGUAGGUGGUUCGGUAAGUCGGGUGUUAAACCCCCAGGCUCAACCUGGGGACGCCACUCGAUACUGCUGUGACUAGAGUCCGGUAGGGGAGCGUGGAAUUCCUGGUGUAGCGGUGAAAUGCGCAGAUAUCAGGAGGAACACCGGCGGCGAAGGCGGCGCUCUGGGCCGGUACUGACACUGAGGAGCGAAAGCGUGGGUAGCAAACAGG
This 254-nucleotide ribosomal RNA is filed under the name uncultured bacterium. RNAcentral describes it as "partial 16S ribosomal RNA". It matches the Rfam family "Bacterial small subunit ribosomal RNA", at positions 524 to 776 of the family's 1533-position model. The record is from RNAcentral.